RNAcentral lists this ribosomal RNA (374 nucleotides) under uncultured bacterium. RNAcentral's name for it is "bacterial SSU rRNA". It matches the Rfam family "Bacterial small subunit ribosomal RNA", at positions 521 to 896 of the family's 1533-position model. The record is from RNAcentral.
UAAGACGUAGGAGGCGAGCGUUAUCCGGAUUCACUGGGCGUAAAGCGCAUGUAGGCGGCUCGAUAAGUCGUGUGUUAAAGCCCCUGGCUCAACUGGGGGAGGUCAUGCGAGACUAUCGGACUUGAGGGCAGUAGAGGCACGUGGAACUCCCGGUGUAGCGGUGGAAUGCGUAGAGAUCGGGAAGAACACCCGUGGCGAAGGCGACGUGCUGGGCUGCAACUGACGCUGAGAUGCGAAAGUGUGGGGAGCAAACGGGAUUAGAUACCCCGGUAGUCCACACUGUAAACGAUGAACCCUAGGUGUGGGGGUGAAUAACCUCCGUGCCGAAGCCAACGCGUUAAGGGUUCCGCCUGGGGACUAUGAGCGCAAGCUUA